AUGACAUCAGAAAGAUUUUUAACAUUAUUCAAAGCAGUAAUAGGGAGCUAGGUGAGAGGCAGGAUCAGACAGGCAAUCAUCAACAACAUACUCUGAAUUUAAGAAUGACCACCACACAGUAAGAGAACUGGAAUUUGGAGGAAAACUUCAGCUCUGUGUGUGUUAGCCAGAGUGAUGUCAAUCAACUAAAGGUCUCAAAGCUGAGAGACAACUUGCAUGGGAAAAGAUCAACAGAAAAAUCUGAAACAUCAGGAGAACUUUCACACAGAAAACUAACAAAGAAAUUCUGGACUUAAACUUGACACUUGCCCAGUUGGUCUUAAUAGACAUCUAAAGAAUACUCCACCCAACAACUACAGAAUAUAUAUUCGUCUCAUCUGCAGACACAACAUACUUUAAAAAUGACUGCAUGUUUGGUCAGAGAGUCUCAACAAAUUUGGAAAAAUUAAAAUUAUACCCAACAUAUUCUCAGGUCGAAUGAAAUGCAAAUAGAAAUUACUGCCAAGAGGAAUUCUCAAAACCACACAAAUACGUGGAAAUUAAACACAUUGAUCCUGAAUGACCUUUGUAAAGCAAGAAAAUUAAGGCAAAAAUCAAAAAAUUAUUUGAAAAAAACAAAAAUUGUGACACAGUGUAACAAAACCUGUGAUAUUGCAAAAGAAGUGAUAAGAUUUGUAGCACUAAAUGCCUACAUCAAGAAAAUAGAAAUAUCUUGUUAACAACCUAACAUUACACCUAAAGAAAUAGAGAAAGAAGAACUAAAUUCUAAAUGAAGAACCCAGUUCUAGCAGAAGAAAAGAAAGAAUUAAAAUCAGAACAGAACUAAGUGAAAUUGAGAUAAAGAAAACUAUUCAAAGGAUCAACAAAAUGAAAAGUUUGUUUUUUGAAAGGAUAAACAAAAUUGAUAGACUGCUAGAUAAACAAAGGAAAAAAAGAAGAUCCAAAUAAGCACAAUCAGAUAUGACAAAGGUAACAUUACAACUGAUCUCGCAGAAAUAUAAAAGAUCCUCAGAGAUUACUAUGAACAUCUCUAUGCACACAACUAGAAAAUCUAGAGGAAAUAGAUAAAUUCCUGGAAAUAUACAACCUCCCAAGAUUGAAUCUGGAAGAAAAAGACACCCUAAAGAGACCAGUAAUGAGUUACAAAAUUGAAUAAGUAAUAAUAAAAAACUUACUAACCAGAAAAGCACCGGACCAGAUGGAUUUACAGCCAAAUUAUACCAGAUGUACAAAGAAGCAUCAUCAGAGUAAGAAUAAGGCAAAAUGGUUCAAGGUUUCUCCUCUCUUCCAAGGAAGUGGAAUAAUUGACUUUCACAAUCUCCCUGAUUUGAAAAACCAUAUUAUAACGUGAAUAGGUGAUUUAAAAGGACAAUCAUCUGAACUGGGAUGUGAGAUUCUGAGGUACUCUUUAAGUAUGCUAGGUAACUUCUUAUCAAC
This 1437-nucleotide long non-coding RNA is filed under the name Homo sapiens (human). RNAcentral describes it as "HSALNT0302471". Lineage: Eukaryota; Metazoa; Chordata; Mammalia; Primates; Hominidae. The record is from RNAcentral.